RNAcentral lists this ribosomal RNA (497 nucleotides) under uncultured bacterium. RNAcentral describes it as "partial 16S ribosomal RNA". It matches the Rfam family "Bacterial small subunit ribosomal RNA", at positions 28 to 507 of the family's 1533-position model. The record is from RNAcentral.
GACGAACGCUGGCGGCGUGCCUAAUACAUGCCAGUUGAGCGCUGAAGGUUGGUACUUGUACCAACUGGAUGAGCAGCGAACGGGUGAGUAACGCGUGGGGAAUCUGCCUUUGAGCGGGGGACAACAUUUGGAAACGAAUGCUAAUACCGCAUAAAAACUUUAAACACAAGUUUUAAGUUUGAAAGAUGCAAUUGCAUCACUCAAAGAUGAUCCCGCGUUGUAUUAGCUAGUUGGUGAGGUAAAGGCUCACCAAGGCGAUGAUACAUAGCCGACCUGAGAGGGGGAUCCGCCACAUUGGGACUGAGACACGGCCCAAACCCCCACGGGAGGCCACAGGAGGGAAUCUUCGGCAAUGGACGGAAGUCUGACCGGGGAACGCCGCGGGAGUGAAGAAGGGUUUCGGAUCGUAAAACUCUGUUGGUAGAGAAGAACGUUGGUGGGAGUGGAAAGCUCAUCAAGUUACGGUAACUACCCAGAAAGGGACGGCUAACUACGUG